Molecule: transfer RNA, 91 nt
Filed under: Thermogemmatispora tikiterensis
Lineage: Bacteria; Bacillati; Chloroflexota; Ktedonobacteria; Thermogemmatisporales; Thermogemmatisporaceae
Also listed under: 3 other names
Description: tRNA-Ser
Rfam family: tRNA
About the family: Transfer RNA (tRNA) molecules are approximately 80 nucleotides in length. Their secondary structure includes four short double-helical elements and three loops (D, anti-codon, and T loops).
Source: RNAcentral
GGAGAGGUCGCAUAGAGGCCUAGUGCGGCGGUUUGCUAAACCGCUAGGGAUCAAAAGUCCCUCGUGGGUUCGAAUCCCACCCUCUCCGCCA